ACUGUUUCACUGGCCAAGAAUGAAGGUGACUUUUCGGAUUGAGAAAGGAGAGGCUCCCCUUCCUCUUCCUCCAAGGUCUAAACGUUGAGUCUAGACUGAGAGAUACUGAGAAGUCUGCAACUGUGCCACUUGAGAGAGUUACAUCUCAAGAGUUAAUCUCAGCCACAGGAAGACAGGUCACAAGCCAGUGCUUGUGUUUGCGGCAGCAGUGAGGCUGGGAGCCCAUUUCUAGGCCAGCCCCAUGUGUCAGCGCCCUUCAGCCCCACUGGGGCAGUUCUGAGUUCCAUCACCACUAACAAGAAUCAAGAGCAACUCUUUGAUCCCGAGGGGCAGGGUUCUCUCUCGUUUUAGACCUGAGGAGUGGAGGAGAUGCAGAUGGCAGAGCAUGGUGGCAAGAUCUGGCUAGAGUGGACAAAUCUGAGGAUUGCACUCAGAAAUAGC
This 441-nucleotide long non-coding RNA is filed under the name Homo sapiens (human). Its description in RNAcentral is "HSALNT0076809". The record is from RNAcentral. Lineage: Eukaryota; Metazoa; Chordata; Mammalia; Primates; Hominidae.